This 229-nucleotide long non-coding RNA is filed under the name Homo sapiens (human). RNAcentral describes it as "HSALNT0290951". Lineage: Eukaryota; Metazoa; Chordata; Mammalia; Primates; Hominidae. The record is from RNAcentral.
CGUGUUCCCUUCCUCGGCUUCCUAACUCCCGGCCGAGGAGACAGGAGCCCGCCCGCCACUUCGAGGGACACGCUGCGGGCCUCUCAGAUCCCGGCGGGGCGAGGAGGGCCGCGCGGCUGCCGUUCUAGCGUCCGCACCGUCGACGCUGAGCGCGCGGUCAGAAACCCGGGUCUGCGGACUAGAGAUAGCUUUUCCUGGCCGGGCGCGGUGGCUCACACCUGUAAUCCCA